GAUAAACGCUGGCGGCGUGCAUGAGACAUGCAAGUCGAACGAAGGAUCGGGCUUGCUCGAUCCUUAGUGGCGGACGGCUGAGUAACGCGUAGGUGACCUACCCCGAAGUGGGGAAUAACUGCCCGAAAGGGUGGCUAAUACCGCAUGUGGUCGCAAGUUCAUUCGUGCGAGUAAAGCCGCAAGGCGCUUCGGGAGGGGCCUGCGUCCGAUUAGCUCGUUGGUGGGGUAAUGGCUUACCAAGGCGACGAUCGGUAGGUGGUCUGAGAGGACGAUCACCCAGACUGGGACUGAGACACGGCCCAGACUCCUACGGGAGGCAGCAGUCGGGAAUUUUGCUCAAUGGGGGAAACCCUGAAGCAGCAACGCCGCGUGAGGGAUGAAGGCCUUCGGGUUGUAAACCUCUUUUGUCAGGGACGAUGAUGACGGUACCUGGCGAAUAAGCCACGGCUAACUACGUG
RNAcentral lists this ribosomal RNA (458 nucleotides) under uncultured bacterium. RNAcentral describes it as "partial 16S ribosomal RNA". It matches the Rfam family "Bacterial small subunit ribosomal RNA", at positions 28 to 507 of the family's 1533-position model. The record is from RNAcentral.